CCUCCAUUCUUAUGAUAGCCUUGUACAAUUUCUCGAGGCCAAAAGGGUAUUCUCAAUAAGUAGUCUGCCUUGAACAAAAGCUGUUUGGUUAGGGAGGAUAACGUCGGGGAGAAUGACCUUUAAUCUUUUCACAAGCAGCUUUGAAAUAGAUUUAUAAGUAGUAUUGCAGCAGGAAAUUGGCCUAUAAUCAGAAAUAGAAGUAGCUCCUGGUUUUUUAGGGACUAACGUCAGAAUUGUUGCAUUUGUGGCAGUUGGGAGGAACCCUGAAGAGAAGAACCUUUGAAUGGCUGAAACCACCUCUUGACCAACUAUUGGCCAAGCAGCUUUGAAGAAAGAAGAAGUAAACCCAUCAGGCCCAGGAGACUUGUUGGGGUUCAGCUUGAGUAGAGUCCUUGUGAUUUCAGCAGUUGUAGGGAAGGAGGACAAGACUGAUUUAUGGUGCUCACUACAGUUAAAGCUUUGAAGCUCCAAAAACCAGGAGAAAGGAGAACUGAUAUGCAUCAAAUAUUGAGGGGCAAGAAUCUGCUGGAAAUGAGAGACCGCAAUAUCACUCAUUUCCUUCGGGUCUGAAGUAGAUGAACCAUUAACCAAGCAUAAAGAUCUGAUGGAGUUGUAGGAUGCUCUAGCCAUUGCAACUCUGUAGAAGAAAGUAGUGUUCUGGUCCCCUAGGUGUAACCAAUUGAUUAUGGACUUCUGUUUGAAAAAAGAUUCCUCAAUUCCUCUGAGGAAUAACCAUUUAGAGUGGAGGUCCCUUUCAGCUUGGAAAAUGUCUAAGGAUGGAUUAUCUAUAGCUUGAACCUGCACAACUUUUAACAAACUGUUAGUAACACUCACUCUCCUCUGAAUAUCUGAAAAGCUCUCUUUGUUUAGUGAUUUUAGAACUCUUUUUAGAAUUUUCAAUUUGAACCCCAACAGUGAAAGAUCUAAAACUCUGUCUCCACUCUCAAUCCAUGCAGCCUCAACUUGGGAGAGAAAAAGUGGGUGAUCAGAAAGGAAGUUUAGGAAUUUGAAGGGCUUUGUGCCAGUAGUAGGAAGAGGACAAGAAAGAUCAAUUAGGCAAGGAGUAUGAUCAGAGAAUUCUUGGGGUAAGAAAGAGGCUAAACUGUUUGGAAAACUACUGAUCCAAUUAUCAUUGACUAACACUCUGUCCAACUUCUUUGUGAUAGGGUCAUCCGGUCUGUUGUUCGUCCAAGUAUGGUUACACCCUUGAAACCUGAGGUCAAAGAUACCCAAAGAUAAUAAGUGAUCUUUCAUUUCAAUCAUAUCUGUAGUCAGGUGAUUGACAUUUGAUGAAGAGUGCUCAUCAUGAUGGAUGAUCUGGUUGAAGUCACCCCCAAUAAUCCAGUUCUGAUUUUCAAGGAAAAGAGUAGUCUGGAUUUCAUGGAGGUCAUCCCACAGAUAAGUUAUCUCCUCUCUGAGAUUUGAAGCGUAGACAGCCGUGAGAAUAAAACUUGUGCCUGCAUGUAUCUGGAUUUUGCAGGUUAUUGAUUGCCUAGACUGAUGGAGCACUUGCACAGUAGUUGAAGGUUUCCAAAAAAUUAUGAUCCUUCAUCCUUCCAUCCUCAUCAGUAUCAUGGUUAGAGGUAAAAAGCCAGCCAGGACAAACUUUUUGCAUAAUCUGAUUCAAACUUGGUUCUUUUAUGUGUGAUUCCAAAAUAGCACCCACAACUGGCUGAUUAGUAUAUAGCCAUUGAACAAAAGGCCGAUGCUUAUCCGGGUCAUUUAGGCCACGGACAUUCCAAAAAGAUAUAUGGGGACUCAUUGGGUUUUGGAAUGAGCCUCUUUCUGGGUAAAAAGAGGACUCUGCCCAGGAGAAGAAGGAGGAGCCUUAGUGUUUGGGGAUGAGGGUAGCAAAUGGGAUUGAGUGGUUAUUAUUGAGUAAGAGUUUGUGUUUGGGGUAGGAGUGGUAAUGCUUGGUGGGUUAGGUGUGGUGUAUGGUGGCUUAGAGGGGAUGAAAGGGUUAAAAGAAGUUGGGGUUGAAUUUAGGGCAUCAAAUUUAUUGGUUAAGGGUAGAGAAAGGGUAUUGUCCGAGACCACUAUAGGGCGAGACACAAACUCAGCUUUGAGAGCAAGCACACAAUCCAGAAGAAUAUCAUCUGCCUGCACAUCCAUUGGAGAACCAGCAGCAAUAGGGGACUCAGAGGUAACAACAGAUUGAAUAGUCUCUUUUUGUGGAGAAAUAUCCAACACCAUAGUCUCUACUAACUGAGAAUCCUUGACAGCAAUGGGAGCUAGCUCCACAUGUGACACAUGAGCUUCAGACUUUUCAGAAGUAGAAGUCAAACCCUUUUGAGCAAUAGGAGAAGUCGGAGUAGUCUGGGAAACAAGUUUAUUAACAGGUACAGAGUUUCUCUUAGCUUUAGAAGUGACUGGGGUCCAAUGGUUUUCUGCUUUUGGACAAUUUCUCAUAAAAUGACCAACUUCUUUACACAGAUAACAAGCAUGAGGGACAACCUGAGGACCAGACGGUUUAGGAGGAGGCGCAGGUUGAGAAGCAGCAGUAGGAGGUGGAGCUAGAAGACAGUUUCUCAUAAUAUGACCCACUUCUUGACAGUGGGAGCAUACCGGAGGCACCCAAGGGUAAUCAACCUUUACAGUAAAUAUUGAUCCAUCUGACCUUAGAACUUCAAGCACCGGAGGCAGAGGCUUAGUGGAGUCAACUUCCACUUUUACAUGAGCAAUACUGAUACUGGUGAGGUUAAUAGUCCAAUCAUCAGUUUCUAUAGGUUCACCAAUGAGGCCAGCAAUGUGACUAAGCCCUUGCUGGUGGAUAAGGUCAAACGGAACAUCUUUUAGGUGAGCCCAAAGAGGAAUGCGCUGUAGAGAAGGAGAGGAGUUAUCCAAGGAAGCAGACCACUAUGACACAUGAAACAUGGUAGUUUCCACAUACCAAAUUCUCUUUUCUAAAACUUUCUGUCUAAUGUAAUCAUUUGGAAGUCUAACAAGAACUGAGUUGCCUGCAGGAGAAAGAUGGAUUUCCAAGUGCUUUCCUUUACCCCACAUGAAGUUUAGGACACUCUGAGUUAGGUGAUACGGCGGAAUCCGACCAAAAAAUCUGCAGAUGAGAAAAUCUUUAUGAAGUUCAGCCCCUUUGUGAAAGACUUCGUCAGGAAUUUCAACUCUUGGGAUCCCUGAUGGAGAGAAUGAGACAGGGGACAACCUUUUCAAGGAUUUAUCCACAGAUGGUUUAACUUUUGAGGCAUAAGAAGGCGGACCAGUAGCAGCUUUAGGAAGGGGAGGGUUAGGGUUAGAAAUAGGAGGAAGAGAGGUAAGAUUCGAGAUGGAUGAGCCAUUAAUGACAACAUAGUCAAGUUUAGAACUUUGCAAUGGAGGGAUGGAUGAUUGAGGAAAAGAAGCGGGAGUAGCCCCAAGUAUACCAGGAAGAGACUGAGAAGGAGGAGAAGGGAUGGUGGAAGUAGUAGAAGAAUUCAAAUUUUCCGAAAAUACUGUAGCUACUGUAGCAGUUUCAGAUCCAGUGGGAAUAGUACCAGAUCUAGGGUUCUGAGACAAAUUUGAAGAGGAAACCAAGUAAGAAGACAGAAGCUGAGCCACAGAAACAACCUCAGUAGGAGGAGGGAAGGACUCACUAGUAGGAGAAGUAACUUUUACAGGAGCAGAAACAAUUUGAGAUUUGUGAAAGAUUUUACGAGGAAGAAGACGACCAGUAGCAAGAGAGGGAAAGUCAGAAGGAGAAGAAGGAUCAGGAGGGUCAGGAGGAAGAGGCGGUGGGCGGUUGAGACUACCAGCCGUAGCCGGAGGGGAGACGAGAGAGUUAGGGAACCAGGAGUUCGCCAUGAAUACUUGUACUUAUACACUUAUUUUCAUUGCAAAGAGGCAAAGACGUCUCGUAAUGAUUUUAUAAGCCUAAUUUGACAAUGUUUAUCUCUAAUGAAAGUAUCAUAGUCGCGUCUCUGAUUAUUUAGAUGAUUUAAGGGGGACUUAACCUCGGAUAAGUUCAAAGACGUUACACAUAUAUAAGUGUAGUUUUCAAAUAUUUUCGAGUCAAACAAGUAGCAAUUAGCAACUACAGUAAAACCUCUAUAAAUU
RNAcentral lists this long non-coding RNA (4047 nucleotides) under Arabidopsis lyrata. RNAcentral's name for it is "long non-coding RNA (ALYR_LNC000080)". Lineage: Eukaryota; Viridiplantae; Streptophyta; Magnoliopsida; Brassicales; Brassicaceae. The record is from RNAcentral.